GGAAUAUUGGACAAUGGGCGAAAGCCUGAUCCAGCAAUGCCGCGUGAGUGAUGAAGGCCUUAGGGUUGUAAAGCUCUUUUACCAGGGAUGAUAAUGACAGUACCUGGAGAAUAAGCUCCGGCUAACUCCGUGCCAGCAGCCGCGGUAAUACGGAGGGAGCUAGCGUUGUUCGGAAUUACUGGGCGUAAAGAGUACGUAGGCGGUUAUUCAAGUCAGAGGUGAAAGCCUGGAGCUCAACUCCAGAACUGCCUUUGAAACUAGAUAACUAGAAUCUUGGAGAGGUGAGUGGAAUUCCGAGUGUAGAGGUGAAAUUCGUAGAUAUUCGGAAGAACACCAGUGGCGAAGGCGACUCACUGGACAAGUAUUGACGCUGAGGUACGAAAGCGUGGGGAGCAAACAGGAUUAGAUACCCUGGUAGUCCACGCCGUAAACGAUGAUAACUAGCUGUUCGGGCUCUACGAGCUUGAGUGGCGCAGCUAACGCAUUAAGUUAUCCGCCUGGGGAGUACGGUCGCAAGAUUAAAACUCAAAGGAAUUGACGG
RNAcentral lists this ribosomal RNA (541 nucleotides) under uncultured bacterium. RNAcentral describes it as "bacterial SSU rRNA". It matches the Rfam family "Bacterial small subunit ribosomal RNA", at positions 358 to 916 of the family's 1533-position model. The record is from RNAcentral.